GCCGGGCUGCGGGCUCAAGUGCAAGUGCGUGUUCCUUUGUCGUUGGGUAUCACAUCGGCCAGCGUAGGUAGCGUGAAGUAGGCAGCGGGGCCUGCUGCGGCGGGGUCCCAGGCUUGCCACAAGCCCCACUAAGAAUUGCCAAUGUAGCUCAAUGCCCCUCGCUGUAGGGCCUCGGUUUGCGGCCCAUGGCUCCAACCUUUCGGUCGAUCCGUCUCCCCCUCUUUAUGCCCCGGCCAACUGCAGCUCCAGCCCCAGCUAUACCUUCGGCCCAACAGCUGCAGCUUGAAGCGCUGGAGCCUUGAACCGCUCCUACCUGCUCCUACCGACUGCAGGAGUCAUGUUCCUGCUUGAGGCCUGCUCCCUUGCCGUGACUUGCCCUACCUCGCCUCCACCUUCCAGACGCCAUCCACGCAUGCCUUCCCUUGUGUCCCACUCCCAAGCCUUCCCUUAGCCCUCCAGCACAUUAAUAACUCCCAGAUGCCCCACACCCUUACGGGACCAGGGCGACCUCGACGGUCUCGCGGCAGGCAGGCGCGUGUCACAGGCAUGGCUCGCAAACUUACAGCUUUCUUGCCCCGGGUUGUUUGCUGUCAACAUAUGUUGCCUAAAAUAGUCCAGAACAUCACGGCUCGCUCGCUUUGCUUGCAACCUUGCGACAGUCAGUUGUCGCGAACUCGCUUCUCGCUCCUGCUGAUUUUGACCCGCCGCCUACUUGAAAUCAAUAGACCCUACAAAACAUCAAAGUGUUUCACUCGCAGUUUUUAGCGAAUAGAGGUUACAUGUGGGUUACAAGUGUUUCACUCGCAGUUUUUAGCCCAGCUAUCUACAUAUGCCAUGGAAAGUGUGACGCACCCGGUGCGUUUGCGCUACAGCGCGAUUCAGCUCGAACCAACUAGCAUGAUCGAUUACUCGUAGCUUCCUGUAUACGUGAUCUUGUUUCCAGGCCGCGAGAGCGAGUGCAGCGUAUGAACGAAGCCGGCAACUGCGCUUUCUUGGCUUCCUCGAGAAUGCGCGCAGCUAUAACUUACAGUGCGAUGUAUUAGCGACACAGUCUGGCCUGCCAGAGCGCGCACUUGCAAGAAUUUCAGAGCGCGCUCGUUCCGAUCGGCUGGGAUGAAAGCUUACACGAUAUGUGCGAGCAGCUGUAUCCGUUGAUAUAAUCGGUGAGCAAAGUCAUGCACAGUUGCGAUGUGCUGUGAACUUUUAGCACGCUCGGCGACCCAGCUCGGCGAACCUGCUCUACGCUCCUCGCCCUGGCGGGGGGAGGGUUUCCUGCACCGCCCCCCCUUCUGCGCGCUUCACGACACGCCUGCGGGGGGAGGGAAAGUUGCCUAGCGCAGGCAUCUGGCGGGGUGGGUCUGGUCUGGCAGCUAAGUUCCAGAGGCAACCUGACCCCCGCGCACGCGCAUCUGNNNNNNNNNNNNNNNNNNNNNNNNNNNNNNNNNNNNNNNNNNNNNNNNNNNNNNNNNNNNNNNNNNNNNNNNNNNNNNNNNNNNNNNNNNNNNNNNNNNNGCCUCAGCGGCGGGCUAAGCGAAUCGUAUGGGAGGGGGGUGCAGGGGGGAGGGUGUCCCCGGAGGGUGGGAAAGUUGCCUAGCGCAGGCAUCUGGCGGGGUGGGUCUGGUCUGGCAGCUAAGUUCCAGAGGCAACCUGACCCCCGCGCACGCGCAUCUGAGGUUGCUGGGGUGGCCCUGCGCGGGCAUCUUGGGGUGCCAUGUCCACGCAUCUUGACUGGCGGGGAUGGGCCGCCCAGGCAUCUUAGCUGCCGUGCCCAGGCAUCUGGGAUGGCGGAGGCGGUCCGCCCGGGCAUCUUAGCUGCCGUGCCCCCGCAGCUUGACUGGCUGAUUUCCCCCACCCGAAAACGUAGCGUGCCGAGUUUAGAUUGCGGGAAUGUCAGCAAGCACGGUAUGCCCACAUGGGUACCCCACGGGUACCCACGGUGCCGGUGCCGGUGCUGGUGCUGGUGCCGGUGCGGUGCCCAUGGCAAGCUCAAUCCGGCCUGCUUCCCAAUGAAUACUCUACACGCAGAGGCGUCAAGUGCGAUAUAAUCAGUACAACUAGGACUGCAGGAGGGUUCGGACAUGACAACACGGUCUGGGGCCGCUAAAGCUGGGAGUAAGCCGUGGAGCCAGUUGUGAUCUAUUUCAUGGUAUCUGCUAUCUGGGUGACAAGCUGUAAUCCCUCGGAAAGCUGGCUGCGGCGCCGAGUUGGCUGUCACGCCCCGCGAACCAGUGGUUCGCAGAGAGCCUUUUGUUUCCCUGCUUGCCCGGUCGUUAUUAGACUUGUUACUGCUUUACGUGUAGCCUUCUUGUGGCACCCCAAGCCCCAAAAGAAUUGACCGGCUCAUACCGCAACUUACAGUAGACUUCUGCAGCUCGAAACAGUCAACAUCUAAAGAUAUUGUGGUUGCUUUAGUAUCAGCACGCACUCAGUAUAGGCCAGCAUGGCCCAGGCCCCCGACAUUCUCGCGUCAGUGGUGUCUGCGUGUAUGCGUGCAGGAGUGCUCCGUACCCACUUACACACUGCCCGUUACCCAUUCCAAACCCUCUUGCGGCAUUUUUACCAAGCAACUAGGGUGGCUACAAUAGGCAGCUCGGAUGUGCUAGCAGGGGCGCCGCGGCAUCUGCAAUGCCUCGCGCAGGCAUCCGUGCUGAUGGCGCGGGGUCGCGCAGGCAUCUGCCAUCCCUCGGCGCAGGCAUCUGGACUGCCGCGGCGACCCGCCCCAGGCAGCUUCAACCCCCCGCGCACGCAGCCAAAUAUGGCUCGGCAGGGUACCCGGCUCACCCUUACAGCCAGAGGCCACCGGCAACUUUUCGGAUUUCCUACCCUCCUGUGUCCCUCCCCCCGCUUGAGGGGGGGCGCAGGGGGGGGCACCCCCCCGCUAAUUUGCAUAUCGAUCAGGAGAGCCCCCCCCCCUGACAUCGACUACAACAAACGUCGAUGCAGGCCACGAUCGGUCGGCACUGAUAGCUGGGCGCAGGGGCUAAGUUGCCAGUAUUGAGUUUGCAUUCAUUCAUUCCUGAGCCCCAUUCAGCCCCAUUCCACCGCCAACCCUCAGCCAGCCCACCACCCCUCAAGUCCACACGGCCACCCCACACGGGCCCACCAUGUGUGUGACGGUGCCGAUGCGGCUGACCAGCAGUCCCGGGUCCAUCCCCCUGACCCCCCCUGCUCCUGCUGCUCCAUGGCCCCGGCCUGCUCCUCCUCCCGCCGCUGCGCCUCCUCCCGCUGCUCCCGCCCCUUCCAGUCUCUCGGCCCCGGUGGGUGCGCCUAGCUGCCGUGCCAGUCCAAAGCCCGCCAGUUUGGCCACGAAGCCGCGGGGGUCGGUGUCGGAGCGCUGGGGGGGGCGGUCAUGGAGUUGUGUAUUAGGAAACGUGUGGAACGGGAAACGCGCUAUGCAUGUGUGUUGAACGAGGUGGAAAGAAAGUAGGGAUUGGGGACAUCCGCUCUCAUAAGCAAGCAGCCGACAUCCCAAAGCCACGCGCAAGCAGCGCUGGCAACCGAACAGCCCCCGCAUCCCCCCCUCAUCCCCCCCUCACCGCCCCCUUCCCCACCCCCACCUGCAGCAGCACGUUGGCGGUCUUGAGGUCGCCGUGUGCGAUGUGGCGGGAGUGCAGGUAGCGCAGCGAGGGCGUGCAGCCCUUUCACAGCUCCUUGUGAGAUGCCACCAAUCCCACCACCCCCACCCCAAUCACUUGUCAAGUACAGGUGCUGCGCCGCAGCCUGUACGACGCCUACAACAGCUUUCUGGAUGGCCUGCGCACGCGCUUCACCGUGCCUGAGGCCGGGCGGCCCAAGACCAUGUCCGCGCUGGCACGCAUGGUGCCCACGGCGAAUCACGGACCAGGUGCGACAGGGAAGGCACGGCCUGGGGGCGUGCCAGGUACAACGGUUCCCACCCUUCCCCACCCAGCCCUCCGCCAGCCCCUCGCCCGGCCCUGCGUCGCCUGUUGCGGCCGCUCCCCCAUUUCACAGGCCUUCAGGCACUCUAUGUGGACCACAGGGAGGCGGUGGACGCGCGAAAGCAGGCUGCGCUCCCGGAAUGGGGCCUGCAUUGCGGCCCAUGCCAGUCGAAAUCGCUGGAAAAACACUCGCCGACCGAUUUUCGGGGGUAAACCCGUCAGUUGCAGUCAAACCUAGUUGGUUUUAGCUUUGCUGCUUCCAACAUUUGCGCCUUCCCGUAGGGCGGGACUCGUUUCGGGAGAGAGAGUGACUCGGCAAAACGUGACUCUAUGUAAAAUAAGAGGUAAGCGUUGAGCCACUGCAAGAUAAUAAUAUUUCGCACAUGGACAACGAAUGCAUUUUCGUGGGCUGCAGCUCAGCUGCAAUCUCUCUCGCUGAGCAGUCGACAAAGCCUUUCAAGUAGACGUAAUCAAGUUGGCAAUCACAAAUAUAGCUGGAAUCCUGUCUUUGAUAUUGACUCCCAGCUUUGCUCCUCCUGCCUCGUAGCUUUCUUUUGUUCAACGCUCCGACUCGUGGGAGGCUUCAGGACACACGCAGUAAGUUUGUGGGAUUCAUCGAGCUGGCGCGGGCGGGGCGAUGCCUAAGGGGGAAGGCUCGGGUGGGGCGAAGGCGGUGCCUUUGGCAUCGGCCAGAGCGAUGACCGCUCGGGGCCCUUCAGAGGGCGGGGCCGCCCAGGGCCUUAGAAAGCAGGGGGGAGGCUCGUGUGGGGCGGGGGCAGACCGCGAGGGGGCUUAGGAAGCAGGGGGAGGCUCGCGCAGGGAGGGCGGGGGUGGACCGCUCGGGACCUCCUAGUGCAGAGGUGGGAAAUAUUUGCUAGUUUUCCUCUGAACGCAUUGAAGGCUCUGAUGGCAGGGGGCCGCGUGGGGGGCUGCUCGGGCUACUUAAGGCAUGGGUACGGCAGCUCUGGGCUGGGCGGGCCGCAUGGGGCCCUUCCGGGGUCUUCUUGAGGCAUGGGGCGGGCAGCUGGCGGGGCUGGCCUCGGGGUGGGCUUGCGUGGGCCUGCUUGGGCUACCAAAGGCUUAGUGAUAAGGUCGGGUCCGGUAUGGGCUUAUAAAAGGCUGGGCGGGCCUGGAUUCAGCCAUGGUGUGCCACUCUUUUGCCACUCUUACACCUAUGCAUUUUCUUCCCGCCCUUGGUAAACGGCAGAAUGCACAAGUGCAACUGUGUGUACAGCGCUGGUGCUGCGCCGGCGCACCUGCUGGGCAAGCAAGUGCGGCUACGUAUCGCGGUGAGGGCGGGUGCGCUGUACACGCGCCCGGCACGCCACGGCCGGUCAGUCCUGGAGCGCAAGCUCAACAAGGUGCUCACGAACCAGGGCAAAAUGCAGAAGGACAUCGGCGACAUGCAGAAGGACAUCUCACAGCUGAAGCAGGACACGGCAGUGAACAAGGCGUUGGUCGCUGUCAACCUGACGCCGAUGGCGUCACUGGUGCUGGGAGUGCUGUACUUCCUGUACACUAACUCUAAGGUCUUGGGCGGCAGCUGAAGUACAGCACUCCCAGCCUUCAGCCGCCGCCCGAGACCUUGAAGUUGGUGUACACAAAGUACAGCGCUCCCAGCUCCAGUGACGCCACCAGCGUCAGGUUGACAGCGACCAACGCCUUGUUGACUGCAGUGUCCUGCUUCAGCUGCGAGAUAUUAUUCUGCAUAUCGCCGAUGUCCUUCUGCAUUUUGCCCUGGUUCGUGAGCACCUUGUUGAGCUUGUGGGAGCUAUCACACGGAUCUAACAUGGGAUGAAGUUUGCUGCGGAGUUAGGCAGCAGGUAUGGACAGCAGCUGUGAUUGUCUGCAAGUCUAGUGUGAAGACUCAGCGGUGGGAGCUUAUCCGCUGAUCAACCUCAGGUGCUACUUCUGAGGGGUGCUGUGUUGCCAGUUCUGGUGUGUGCAUGUGAUUUGCGACAACCAGAGGAGUGGUACGUGUGGAGAAGGCACAUGUGGAUUGAACUGUGCGUGGGCCCAGUUAACGCAGUGGUAGUGGAAACAGGUCAGGGUUGAAUUUGGUUGGUUAAGUGAAUGUGUUUUGUAGGGCUGAACUGCAUGCACGCUGGCAUGGCAGCCUGCGUGACCACUUAGUGCUGCAUGGGCACCCCCUUGCACGCGGCAGGGGCUGACCGCUAGGGCUCUCACCUAACAGGGGAAAGGCGCGGGGAAAGGCGGGGGGAAAGCAAACACGAUAUGCUGCCUACAGUAUUGCCAAAAACGCUCAGGUAGCUGCAAGGGUUUCUUGUAGAAUGUCGCGUUUCUGGUUGUACACAUUGUUGCAGGAAGAUGAAGUUUUCGACGACCGGUUGCUUGCUGACUACCCUGGCCGCGCGCUGCUAGCGCGCUCAGAAAGAGGUAACCAAAGGCAAGAGACUCUGGUUGACGGAAUACUAACUGGGUGUCAUGGCGAAAGAGAAAGAAAGCACGGCUUGGUCACAGCAGCGGAUCCGUCCUCCAGCCAGGUCCAGCUUAUAGAUACUCAGGUACACAACUAAGGAUUAACAGGUUGAAAAGGAAGGCUCAACUAAAGGGCAUCACGUAAAUUGUCGGAACUGCGACCGGGUUGAGCCAUGCAGCAAUCGCGCUGUCGUUACAUCCUCGGCCGCCCGGCGCCCUUGCUCAUUUAACCGCAUCCAUCACUUCUCCCUCGGCCCCUGCGGGUGCGCCCAGUUGCCGCGCCAGUCCAAAGUCCGCCAGUUUGGCCACGAAGCCGCGGGGGUCGGUGUCGGAGCGCUCGGGGGGGGGGGGAGGGGGGGGGGGGGCAGCGGUCAUGGAGCUGGUGGCGUGUGUGGUAGGACACGUGUGGAACGUGUUAGGAAACGUGUGGAACGGGAAACGCGCUAUGCAUGUGUGUUGGAAGAGGUGAAAAGAAAGUAGGGAUUGGGGGCAUUCGCUCUCACAAGCAAGCAGCUGUCGUGUCCUGGCGUGUGAGCGUGCGUGCCGUGUCACACCGACCAUUGGGUCCGGCUUUGCAUUUCCUCUUUUCAUUAGCGUGCAGACAAGACAAUAAGAUUUACGUUCUGCAUGAUUUGGAGUCACGCUUGUAUGCGCGGACUAUAGAAAGAUCUGUUCGGAUAAGAGCGUCGUACUGCAUGGAGGCAGCGACGUCUCGAGGCCAAGUGCGCGGGAGAGAGCCACCGGGUUGUCUUUUGGCUCUCGUCCCGAACGUGCGCCCCGUAUCAUAGACCAAGCCUAGUCUCGUUGUAAUAUUUGAGAGUCUGAUCAACUCCUACGACGGGAAUAGCGACAUCUCCGGCCGGAGUCUGGAGCUAAGCCACACAGUACGUUGAGCAGGGCUGCGUAAACGCAUUUGCCUUGUGUGCUUGUGUAGGUAACAGAGACACGAACCCUCGUAGAAUGUCCGUUUACACACGUACGGGCGCGACACAGCCGACAUCCCAAAGCCACGCGCAAGCAGCGCUGACAACCGAACAGCCCCUUCAUCCCCCCCUCAUCCCCCCCUUCCCCACCCCCACCUGCAGCAGCACAUUGGCGGUCUUGAGGUCGCCGUGUGCGAUGUGGCGUGAGUGCAGGUAGCGCAGCGAGGGCGUGCAGCCCUUUCACAGCUCCUUGUGAGAGCCACCAGGUUUGUUUGCAUGGGCCCAUGCAGUCGAAAUGCAGCUGAAAAAAAACUCGCCGACCGAUUUUCGGGGGGUAAACCCGUCAGUUGCAGUCAAACCUAAUUGUUUUUAUUUUGCUGCUUUCAAAAAUUUGCGCCUUCCCGUACGAAGCUUCAGCCGCCGCCCGAGACCUUGAAGUGACUCGGCAAAACGUGACUCUCUGUAAAUUAAGAGGUAAGCGUUGAGCCACUGCAGCGACAGCGAAUGCAUUUUCGUGGGCUGCAGCUCAGCUGCAAUCUCUCUCACUGAGCAGUCAACAAAGCCUUUCAAGUAGACGUAAUCAAAGUUGGCAAUCACAAAUAUAGCUGGAAUCCUGUCUUUGAUAUUGACUGGCUUUGCUCCCCCUGCCUUGUAGCUUUCUUUUGUUCAACGCUCCGACUCGUGGGAGGCUUCAGGACACACGCAGUAAGUUUGUGGGAUUCAUCGAGCUGGCGCGGGCGGGGCGAUGCCUAAGGGGGAAGGCUCGGGCGGGGCGAAGACGGUGGCUUCGGCAUCGGCCAGAGCGAUGACCGCUCGGGGCCAGGGGCCGCCCAGGGCCUUAGAAAGCAGGGGGGAGGCUUGUGCGGGGCGGGGGCAGACCGCGAGGGGCUUAGAAAGCAGGGGGAGGCUCACGCAGGGAGGGCGGGGGUGGACCGCUCGGGACCUCCUAGUGCAGAGGUGGGAAAUAUUUGCUAGUUUUCCUCUGAACGCCUUGAAGGCUCUGAUGGCAGGGGGCCGCGUGGGGGGCUGCUCGGGCUACUUAAGGCAUGGGCCGGCAGCUCUGGGCUGGGUGGGCCGCAUUGGGGCCUUCCUGGGUCUACUUAAGGCAUGGGGCGGGCAGCUCGGGGCUGGCCUCGGGGUGGGCUUGCGUGGGCCUGCUCGGGCUACCAAAGGCUUAGUGAUAAGGUCGGGUCCGGUAUGGGCUUACAAAAGGCUGGGCGGGCCUGGAUUCAGCCAUGGUGUGCCACUCUUUUGCCACUCUUACACCUAUGCAUUUUCUUCCCGCCCUUGGCAAACGGCAGAAUGCACAAGUGCAACUGCGUGUACAGCGCUGGUGCUGCACCAGCGCACCUGCCGGGCAAGCAAGUGCGGCUACGUACCGCGGUGAGGGCGGGUGCGCUGUACACGCGCCCGGCACGCCACGGCCGGUCAGUCCUGGAGCGCAAGCUCAACAAGGUGCUCACGAACCAGGGCAAAAUGCAGAAGGACAUCGGCAAAAUGCAGAAGGACAUCGGCAAAAUGCAGAAGGACAUCGGCGAAAUGCAGAAGGACAUCUCGCAGCUGAAGCAGGACACGGCAGUGAACAAGGCGUUGGUCGCUAUCAACCUGACACCGGUGGCGUCACUGGUGCUGGGAGUGCUGUACUUCGUCUCGGGCGGCGGCUGAAGCGUCUAGGGUGGCGGCUGAAGCUUCAGCCGCCGCCCGAGACCNNNNNNNNNNNNNNNNNNNNNNNNNNNNNNNNNNNNNNNNNNNNNNNNNNNNNNNNNNNNNNNNNNNNNNNNNNNNNNNNNNNNNNNNNNNNNNNNNNNNNNNNNNNNNNNNNNNNNNNNNNNNNNNNNNNNNNNNNNNNNNNNNNNNNNNNNNNNNNNNNNNNNNNNNNNNNNNNNNNNCAGCCGCCGCCCGAGACCUUAAAGUUGGUGUACACGAAGUACAGCACUCCCAGCACCAGUGACGCCACCGGUGUCAGGUUGAUAGCGACCAACGCCUUGUUUACUGCCGUGUCCUGCUUCAGCUGCGAGAUGUCCUUCUGCAUUUCGCCGAUGCUUCAGCCGCCGCCCGAGACCUUGAAGUUGGUGUACACGAAGUAGGUGUGUGAAUUUUGGUUUAUGCUUGACCGGUCAAACCAAGCGCAGGGGGCGGAUGUUGUUUCUCUGGGUCGCAGAUGGCCCUUUGCGGCGUGGGUACGGCGUGCCCCCGCUUGUCCCUUCAAUUGUAAUCCGCAUCCUUAUCCGCUGAUCAAUCUCAGGUGCUACUUCUGAGGGGUGAUGUGUUGCCAGUUCUGGUGUGUGCAUGUGAUUUGCGACAACCAGAGGAGUGGUACGUGUGGAGAAGGCACAUGUGGAUUGAACUGUCAACUUCAAGCACGUCAAUAACUGUGCGUGGGCCUGGUUAGGUAUGUGGGGGAGGGGGGUUGUCUGCAACCAUCGGCCAUACUGGGCCACGGUAACGCCUCGAAACACGGGCUCGCAGAUCGGCGCUGGGUGACGCGCAUUCCCUAAUCAGGGGCCUCCUCCUGCCCCGGCGCAUCAGUGCCAACUGGCUCGCAGACCGGCUUCUAGAAAGCAGGAUAGCUCUCGCGGGGAAACCAUCAGAACCCGCCGCACCAGCGUCCUCACCCGUAGAGCAGCGACCUAGGAAGGUCGAGAUGGCACUCUUUUGGGGAAGUUCGGCACAAGUAUGUUCAGUGCCUACACAGGUAACGGAGCCGAACCGUUCCUGAUGGGUUUCGAUCUUGCGACCUUGAUGUGACUCCGGCACCCAACUCCGGCAUCGUGGCGCAAGACCACCCGCGUACAAAGCCCACGGGCGGGCGGUUAGCUGAUAGAGGUUACAUGUGGGACGACAGCCGUGGACUAGCCAGGGCCCCAAAAACGUACGAGACACGCACGCUCACCCGAGGAGAGAUCCCCGAAUGACCCCCAUGCUCCUCGCCUCCGGAGAGGGGAGGAACCCCAGGCCCGGCUCACCGCAAACGCUAGCGCUGCUCACCUAAGCCGUGGGUCGGCGUCAUAAGACUACCUCUUGCGAGUCCCUAAGCUGACAAGCUAGGGUGAGGCCGGUGGCGAGUCCGCUGUUGGCCCUACCAAGAUAACCCCUCCAACAUCAUCUGACGCUAGGAAUGGGUGCUGGUUCGGGACAAGGUCCCAGCGGCGCGGAGGCCGACGCAGACUCACAAACGCAGCUAGCCGUGACCAGAAGUCCGCAAUCACCUCCACACCGAUCCUUCGCACAACAGCAACCUCCGCAGUCCGGUCUGCAGCAUCACGGCAAGCGUAAAGGCGCUGUCGGCCGUAUUCCAGGGCCGCUACAGCAGCCAAGCACACGAUGUCCCACACCGCCUGCGAUAGCCCUGGUGGCGCCUGUACUAACCACAACUGGUUCCGUGUGAUGUCCACAUUCGCAUGCUCCCGCAUCACAUCACGCAGAGCCUCCGCCACCACACAGUCCCAGAAGUGAUGAACCCUAGCGCCAGCAGUCAUCUGAGUCCCACACGGGCAUUUCUCCACGCGUCCAUCUGCGGCCCACGCCGCAAGCAUCCCAAAGCCCGUGAACCCAUUGACUGCCAGACGCCAGAGCGGUUCCUUGUGUCGCGGCUCCCACACCAACGCCCACAGCCGCGCCAGGGCCGCCCGCAGCGCAUGAAUCGCUUCCGCUGGCGGCGCGGCGCCGCUGUAGGCCUCCUGGAUGAAGGCCAAGUGACGCACGCGGAGCGCGUCGUACGCAGGCGCAAGUUGAAGCUGGGUUGCCUGCUUCACCGUAAGGGUCAGCAAGGGCACGUCAGCCGCGCCAUGCCGCCACCCCAGGCUCUGCGCAAGCAGCAGCCAUACCUGGGGGGCAGGAGGCGCUGUAAGCGAUCCUGUCAUCCUAGGAUGCGUUUUGUGACUGCUUACAAUUGGUAUCGAGACCGAAUAGCGCAUACGUGCGAUACGGCCUCCGAGGUCGCAAGGUCGAUCCGCGCCAAGCGCGCUUAUCUCACAGUCACGCACCGAGCUUAAACAACGGCAAGCCCUUGUACGCGCUGAGUGCUUAACCCGCUGACCGCCGCCAGCAAAAAUGGGUUCGAGGACGCACCCUUCUAAGGGGGGGGAAUGUAAGCGAUCCUGUCAUCCUAGGAUGCGUUUUGUGACUGCUUACAGGCGCGGAGGCCGCGCCGCCAGGCGCAUGCAGUGUGGCCGACGCCGCCACCCUCCACGCCGCCGGUACACGGGCCAGCAGCGCGGAGAACUGGGCAGCAGCAUCCGGGCCGGACUGCAGCUCCGGCGGCACGCGCGCCAUAUCCGUAAUGCGCAGGAUGGGGCGCAGGACGGACCGCUUGUACUGUAUAGUGCAGCGACGUGCGAGGCGCGGCCCGAGCGCACCAGCCGGCUUGGAAGCCACCAGCUGGCGCACCGCGGCCAGCGCCUCCCAGCACCGCACUGCCGUGCCGAGCGUGAGCAGACCCGGCAGCGCCAUGAGAGCUGGGAAGUCACGUUCCAAGCCACCCGCUUGAAGCCCCGCCGCACACGGCAAGACUGGAUUGCCCCAGAGCGGAAGUGCAAAGCACCAGGGCCCUGGCACCAGCACAGCCGGGCGUAGGAUUGUGACCGGAGGCAGGUAGCUGAGGGCACCCAGGAGGCGCACGAGGGCCGGGCAGGUUGCCGCCACCGGCUGGCCGAAGAUUGCACAGCCAUCGGCAGCGGGUCCGACACCGCCGGCCGCCCGCUGCAUCGUCAGGACGCAGAGGGGGUGGGCGGCCGUGUGUAGCUGCUGCACCAGGGCGGUGGCGGCAGCUGUCCACGGCGGUACGUAGGUGCCAGCCGCAGAGCCGUGCAUGUGCUGCAGCCAGCGCACAGCCAACACAGCGUGUCGGGCGCGCACGUGUUCCACCACCGGCAGCAGUCCAAAGCCGCCAUCGCGUGGCGGCAGGGCGACGCAGUCGGAGGGGAGGCCGGGAGGUCGGGCCCGGCCAGCACCUUGCGGCGUGGCAACGAUGAUGCGGCGGUCCACAAACCGCACAAGCGUUUUGAGGAAGUCUGCCAAAACCGUCUGCGGCGGCAGACCCGCAAACUCCAUAUGGUAGAGCACACGGCUGACGGCGUAGGAGGAGGCACAGAAGCCACGGCCAAAGGCAGUUAGGGGGAGGCCGCAGAGCGUCCCCAGGGUGCCAAUGGCAGGGGAGAGGGAAGGAGCCCCCUGGGCUGCAGCCGUGCCAAGUGGGAGGUCGUAGAAGACCACACCCAGCGUGCGCGAGUGCGAGACUACGCGCAAGCCAUGCGCCAUAGCAACUGUGUUGGGCGGGGCAGGCGCGGCUACGGCACCGCCAGCACCCGCGGCAGAGCCGCCGGCCGUCACGCCACCAGUGACCACAACACCGGCAGCUGCCCAAACCGCGCCCGCCCGAGAAGGUACCGCACCACCGGCCGCCAAGAUGCCGGUUAGGUAUGUGGGGGAGGGGGGUUGUCUGCAACCAUCGGCCAUACUGGGCCACGGUAACGCCUCGAAACACGGGCUCGCAGAUCGGCGCUGGGUGACGCACAUUCCCUAAUCAGGGGCCUCCUCCUGCCCCGGCGCAUCAGCGCCAACUGGCUCGCAGACCGGCUUCUAGUAAGCAGGAUAGCUCUCGCGGGGAAACCAUCAGAACCCGCCGCACCAGCGUCCGCACCCGUAGAGCAGCGACCUAGGAAGGCCGAGAUGGCGCUCGUUCGGGGAAGUUCGGCACAAGUAUGCUCAGUGCCUACACAGGUAACGGAGCCGAACCGUUCCCGAUGGGUUUCGAUCUUGCGACCUUGAUGUGACUCCGGCACCCAACUCCGGCAUCGUGGCGCAAGACCACCCGCGUACAAAGCCCACCCGCGUACAAAGCCCCCGGUUAGGUAUGUGGGGGAGGGGGGUUGUCUGCAACCAUCGGCCAUACUGGGCCACGGUAACGCCUCGAAACACGGGCUCGCAGAUCGGCGCUGGGUGACGCGCAUUCCCUAAUCAGGGGCCUCCUCCUGCCCCGGCGCAUCAGCGCCAACUGGCUCGCAGACCGGCUUCUAGAAAGCAGGAUAGCUCUCGCGGGGAAACCAUCAGAACCCGCCGCACCAGCGUCCUCACCCGUAGAGCAGCGACCUAGGAAGGCCGAGAUGGCGCUCGUUCGGGGAAGUUCGGCACAAGUAUGUUCAGUGCCUACACAGGUAACGGAGCCGAACCGUGCCUGAUGGGUUUCGAUCUUGCGACCUUGAUGUGACUCCGGCACCCAACUCCGGCAUCGUGGCGCAAGACCACCCGCGUACAAAGCCCACGGGCGGGCCGGUUAGCGAAUUUGGGGGAGGGGGGUUGUCUGCAACCAUCGGCCAUACUGGGCCACGGUAACGCCUCGAAACACGGGCUCGCAGAUCGGCGCUGGGUGACGCGCAUUCCCUAAUCAGGGGCCUCCUCCUGCCCCGGCGCAUCAGCGCCAGCUGGCUCGCAGACCGGCUUCUAGAAAGCAGGAUAGCUCUCGCGGGGAAACCAUCAGAACCCGCCGCACCAGCGUCCUCACCCGUAGAGCAGCGACCUAGGAAGGCCGAGAUGGCGCUCUUUCGGGGAAGUUCGGCACAAGUAUGUUCAGUGCCUACACAGGUAACGGAGCCGAACCGUUCCUGAUGGGUUUCGAUCUUGCGACCUUGAUGUGACUCCGGCACCCAACUCCGGCAUCGUGGCGCAAGACCACCCGGUUAGCGAAUAGAGGUUACAUGUGGGAUGACAGCCGCGGGCAAGCCAGGGCUUCAUAAACGCACGAGACACGUACGCACACUCGAGGAGAGAACCUCGAAUGACCCCCAUGCUCCUCGCCUCACUAAAGGAGGGGAGGAACCCCGAGCAAGGCUCACCGCAAACGCUAGCGCUGCUCACCUAAGCCGCGGGUCGGCGUCAGACUGACUGCCACUUUGCAAAGUGCAACUCCUACCCCAAAACACCAGCACCAACAGGGCAGGGCCCUCACACUGUUGGGUGCAGCCCGAAGCUGCAUCCUGUAGACGGCCUAGGGCCGUGCAAGUUCGCUGAACCACGAGGAUCAGCCGGUCCGACCCACCAGACAGCACAAGCCACAGCGCCCGCAACCUAGCGCAGGCGGUGCAGGCACGCCCACCGCCCAACCAAGUCCACACAUCCUCGCAACACCCUAGCACAGCAGACAGCGCCAGCCAGCCUUCGCUUAGUCGGCCUGCGCCAGCCAGCCUUCGCUGGACUGCCUUCGCCAGACUGCAUUCGCCAAGCAGGUCUCUCCACUGGCCACACCACGAGGUGUGUAGAUGCGCCCACAGCUCCAGCCGCCGCCGCCCGGAAGACGCCGGUCCUGGCUCCCGCCGCAGCGUGCCCCGGUUCACGCGCGGCGAGCCCGGCGCCACGUCAGGCCGCGGCAGCAGCCCACAGCAACAGUCGCCAGCAGCGCCAAUCGGCCCUCCGUUACCGAAAGAGCCGCUCAGCGACACGCCACUGCGAGCCCGGCAGCAGCGAGCGCCCCGCCAGAAGCAUCGCGAAGCCAUGAGGACGAGGUCGACCGGCGAGCAGGCGCGCCACCCACGCGAGGUCGCGAAGGCUCCACGGCGUGAGAUCAUGAUGGUCGGCAAAGAGUGCCAGAGCGGGGGCCGCUCGGCAGGACGGCGACGAUGAUGUCGCCGACUGAGUGUCGCGCCGCAGCCAGAGCAGUACUGAUGCACUACAGCUGACCUAAGCAACGCCAGGGACGCCAUGGAGGCGCCACAGGGGAUCGGCGCGGCCACGAAGGCCGGCCAGGAACUACUGCCGACAAGGAGGGUCAGGGCGCCGAGGCGCCCUAACGCAACCAAGCGGAGUAGAACGCUUAUGUUUUAUUAUAGUUAGCGAAGCUAUCUACGGGUCCUCUGGAAAGUGUGACGCAUCCUGUGCGUCGUCGCGUACAGCGCGAUUUCGGCCGAACGCAUUGACAUAGCCGAAUGAUCAUAGCUUCCUCUAUACGUGAUCUUGGUCCCAGGGCGCGAGAGCGAGUGCAGCGUAUGAACGAGGCCAAUAACUGCGCUUCAUUGUCAGGCGCGAAAAUGCGCGUAGCUAUAACCUACAUCGCAAUUCACAGGUAGCACAGAUAAGGCUGUCUGAAAGCACUAGAACAUGCACAUGAAAGCCAACUCGACCGAUCACAAACACGAAAGCUUUCGCGUAGAUGACGAGGAGACGUAUCCAUGCAUAACGUUGAUAUAUGCAGAAAUGCACAGUUG
Molecule: long non-coding RNA, 15459 nt
Filed under: Chlamydomonas reinhardtii
Lineage: Eukaryota; Viridiplantae; Chlorophyta; Chlorophyceae; Chlamydomonadales; Chlamydomonadaceae
Description: long non-coding RNA (CREI_LNC001172)
Source: RNAcentral